AGAAUACCAAGGCGCUUGAGAGAACUCGGGUGAAGGAACUAGGCAAAAUGGUGCCGUAACUUCGGGAGAAGGCACGCUGACACGUAGGUGAAGUGAUUUACUCAUGGAGCUGAAGUCAGUCGAAGAUACCAGCUGGCUGCAACUGUUUAUUAAAAACACAGCACUGUGCAAACACGAAAGUGGACGUAUACGGUGUGACGCCUGCCCGGUGCCGGAAGGUUAAUUGAUGGGGUCAGCGCAAGCGAAGCUCCUGAUCGAAGCCCCGGUAAACGGCGGCCGUAACUAUAACGGUCCUAAGGUAGCGAAAUUCCUUGUCGGGUAAGUUCCGACCUGCACGAAUGGCGUAAUGAUGGCCAGGCUGUCUCCACCCGAGACUCAGUGAAAUUGAACUCGCUGUGAAGAUGCAGUGUACCCGCGGCAAGACGGAAAGACCCCGUGAACCUUUACUAUAGCUUGACACUGAACAUUGAGCCUUGAUGUGUAGGAUAGGUGGGAGGCUUUGAAGUGUGGACGCCAGUCUGCAUGGAGCCGACCUUGAAAUACCACCCUUUAAUGUUUGAUGUUCUAACGUGGACCCGUGAUCCGGGUUGCGGACAGUGUCUGGUGGGUAGUUUGACUGGGGCGGUCUCCUCCUAAAGAGUAACGGAGGAGCACGAAGGUUGGCUAAUCCUGGUCGGACAUCAGGAGGUUAGUGCAAUGGCAUAAGCCAGCUUGACUGCGAGCGUGACGGCGCGAGCAGGUGCGAAAGCAGGUCAUAGUGAUCCGGUGGUUCUGAAUGGAAGGGCCAUCGCUCAACGGAUAAAAGGUACUCCGGGGAUAACAGGCUGAUACCGCCCAAGAGUUCAUAUCGACGGCGGUGUUUGGCACCUCGAUGUCGGCUCAUCACAUCCUGGGGCUGAAGUAGGUCCCAAGGGUAUGGCUGUUCGCCAUUUAAAGUGGUACGCGAGCUGGGUUUAGAACGUCGUGAGACAGUUCGGUCCCUAUCUGCCGUGGGCGCUGGAGAACUGAGGGGGGCUGCUCCUAGUACGAGAGGACCGGAGUGGACGCAUCACUGGUGUUCGGGUUGUCAUGCCAAUGGCACUGCCCGGUAGCUAAAUGCGGAAGAGAUAAGUGCUGAAAGCAUCUAAGCACGAAACUUGCCCCGAGAUGAGUUCUCCCUGAGACUUUAGGUCUCCUGAAGGAACGUUGAAGACGACGACGUUGAUAGGCCGGGUGUGUAAGCGCAGCGAUGCGUUGAGCUAACCGGUACUAAUGAACCGUGAGGCUUAACCUU
RNAcentral lists this ribosomal RNA (1273 nucleotides) under Salmonella enterica. RNAcentral's name for it is "partial 23S ribosomal RNA". It matches the Rfam family "Bacterial large subunit ribosomal RNA", at positions 1675 to 2925 of the family's 2925-position model. Lineage: Bacteria; Pseudomonadati; Pseudomonadota; Gammaproteobacteria; Enterobacterales; Enterobacteriaceae. The record is from RNAcentral.